CCUACGGGAGGCUGCAGUGAGGAAUAUUGGUCAAUGGGCGGAAGCCUGAACCAGCCAAGUAGCGUGCAGGAUGACGGCCCUACGGGUUGUAAACUUCUUUUAUACGGGAGUAACGCGCCUUACGUGUAGCGCUUCGCAUGUACCGUAUGAAUAAUGACCGGCUAAUCCCGUGCCAGCCGCCGCCGUAAUUCGGAAGGUCCCGGCGGUAUCCCGAUUUAUUUGGGUUAAAGGGAGCGGAGGCCGCCUGUCAAACGUGCUGGUAAAUGUCCGGGCUCAACCCGGGCCUUGCAGCGCGAACUGGCGUGAUUGAGGCAGCGGAAAGCAGGCGGAAGUCGUUGGGGAGCGGGGAAAGGCUUA
This 357-nucleotide ribosomal RNA is filed under the name uncultured bacterium. RNAcentral describes it as "partial 16S ribosomal RNA". It matches the Rfam family "Bacterial small subunit ribosomal RNA", at positions 338 to 692 of the family's 1533-position model. The record is from RNAcentral.